This 221-nucleotide ribosomal RNA is filed under the name uncultured bacterium. RNAcentral's name for it is "partial 16S ribosomal RNA". It matches the Rfam family "Bacterial small subunit ribosomal RNA", at positions 129 to 334 of the family's 1533-position model. The record is from RNAcentral.
CCCUUCAGAGGGGGACAACAGUUGGAAACGACUGCUAAUACCGCAUACGAUCCAAUCUCGGCAUCGAGACUGGAUGAAAGGUGGCCUCUAUUUAUGAGCUAUCACUGAAGGAGGGGAUUGCGUCUGAUUAGCUAGUUGGAGGGGUAACGGCCCACCAAGGCGAUGAUCAGUAGCCGGUCUGAGAGGAUGAACGGCCACAUUGGGACUGAGACACGGCCCAG